UACGGAAGGUGCAAGCGUUAAUCGGAAUCAUUGGGCGUAAAGGGCGCGUAGGCGGGAUGGCAAGUCAGAUGUGAAAUUCCGGAGCUCAACUCCGGAGCUGCAUUUGAAACUACUAUCCUAGAGGGUAGACGGAGAAAGCGGAAUUCCAUGUGUAGCGGUGAAAUGCGUAGAUACAUGGAGGAACACCGGUGGCGAAGGCGGCUUUCUAGUUUAUUCCUGACGCUAAAGCGCGAAAGCAAGGGGAGCAAACAGG
RNAcentral lists this ribosomal RNA (253 nucleotides) under uncultured bacterium. Its description in RNAcentral is "partial 16S ribosomal RNA". It matches the Rfam family "Bacterial small subunit ribosomal RNA", at positions 524 to 776 of the family's 1533-position model. The record is from RNAcentral.